GACGAACGCUGGCGGCGUGCCUAAUACAUGCAAGUUGAGCGAUGAAGAUUGGUGCUUGCACCAAUUUGAAGAGCAGCGAACGGGUGAGUAACGCGUGGGGAAUCUGCCUUUGAGCGGGGGACAACAUUUGGAAACGAAUGCUAAUACCGCAUAACAACUUUAAACAUAAGUUUUAAGUUUGAAAGAUGCAAUUGCAUCACUCAAAGAUGAUCCCGCGUUGUAUUAGCUAGUUGGUGAGGUAAAGGCUCACCAAGGCGAUGAUACAUAGCCGACCUGAGAGGGGUAAUGGCCACCUUGGGAACUAAAAACGGCCCCAACUUCUAAGGGAGGCAGCAGUAGGGAAUCUUCGGCAAUGGACGAAAGUCUGACCGAGCAACGCCGCGGGAGUGAAGAAGGUUUUCGGAUCGUAAAACUCUGUUGGUAGAGAAGAACGUUGGUGAGAGUGGAAAGCUCAUCAAGUGACGGUAACUACCCAGAAAGGGACGGCUAACUACGUG
RNAcentral lists this ribosomal RNA (497 nucleotides) under uncultured bacterium. RNAcentral describes it as "partial 16S ribosomal RNA". It matches the Rfam family "Bacterial small subunit ribosomal RNA", at positions 28 to 507 of the family's 1533-position model. The record is from RNAcentral.